GGGGCUAUGGCGCAGCUGGUAGCGCGUCUCGUUCGCAAUGAGAAGGUCGGGGGUUCGAGUCCCCCUAGCUCCACCC
RNAcentral lists this transfer RNA (76 nucleotides) under Actinomyces sp. oral taxon 897. RNAcentral describes it as "tRNA-Ala". It matches the Rfam family "tRNA". Rfam says of the family: Transfer RNA (tRNA) molecules are approximately 80 nucleotides in length. Their secondary structure includes four short double-helical elements and three loops (D, anti-codon, and T loops). The record is from RNAcentral. Lineage: Bacteria; Bacillati; Actinomycetota; Actinomycetes; Actinomycetales; Actinomycetaceae.